GAGUAACACGUAUCCAACCUGCCGUCUACUCUUGGACAGCCUUCUGAAAGGAAGAUUAAUACAAGAUGGCAUCAUGAGUCCGCAUGUUCACAUGAUUAAAGGUAUUCCGGUAGACGAUGGGGAUGCGUUCCAUUAGAUAGUAGGCGGGGUAACGGCCCACCUAGUCUUCGAUGGAUAGGGGUUCUGAGAGGAAGGUCCCCCACAUUGGAACUGAGACACGGUCCAAACUCCUACGGGAGGCAGCAGUGAGGAAUAUUGGUCAAUGGGCGCAGGCCUGAACCAGCCAAGUAGCGUGAAGGAUGACUGCCCUAUGGGUUGUAAACUUCUUUU
This 330-nucleotide ribosomal RNA is filed under the name uncultured bacterium. Its description in RNAcentral is "bacterial SSU rRNA". It matches the Rfam family "Bacterial small subunit ribosomal RNA", at positions 108 to 437 of the family's 1533-position model. The record is from RNAcentral.